Molecule: transfer RNA, 59 nt
Filed under: Ictidomys tridecemlineatus (thirteen-lined ground squirrel)
Lineage: Eukaryota; Metazoa; Chordata; Mammalia; Rodentia; Sciuridae
Also listed under: 1 other name
Description: Spermophilus tridecemlineatus (thirteen-lined ground squirrel) tRNA
Rfam family: tRNA
About the family: Transfer RNA (tRNA) molecules are approximately 80 nucleotides in length. Their secondary structure includes four short double-helical elements and three loops (D, anti-codon, and T loops). Further hydrogen bonds mediate the characteristic L-shaped molecular structure. tRNAs have two regions of fundamental functional importance: the anti-codon, which is responsible for specific mRNA codon recognition, and the 3' end, to which the tRNAs corresponding amino acid is attached (by aminoacyl-tRNA synthetases). tRNAs cope with the degeneracy of the genetic code in two manners: having more than one tRNA (with a specific anti-codon) for a particular amino acid; and 'wobble' base-pairing, i.e. permitting non-standard base-pairing at the 3rd anti-codon position.
Source: Rfam by way of RNAcentral
GUGGCUCAGCAGUAGAGCACUUGCCUAGCGUGCAUGAGGCCCUGGGUUCAAUCCCCAGC